RNAcentral lists this small RNA (83 nucleotides) under Marmota monax (woodchuck). Lineage: Eukaryota; Metazoa; Chordata; Mammalia; Rodentia; Sciuridae. The record is from RNAcentral.
GCCAGGUGUGGUGACGCACACCUGUAAUCCCAGUGGCUCAGGAGGCUGAGGCAGGAGGAUUACAAGUUCAAAGCCAGCCUCAG